GGAGAGUUGUCAGAGUGGUUUAUUUUGCUACCUUGGAAAGGUAGUGUUCCUCACGGAACCGUGGAUUCGAAUUCCACACUCUCCACCA
RNAcentral lists this transfer RNA (88 nucleotides) under Gammaproteobacteria bacterium. RNAcentral describes it as "tRNA-Ser". It matches the Rfam family "tRNA". From Rfam's summary of the family: Transfer RNA (tRNA) molecules are approximately 80 nucleotides in length. Their secondary structure includes four short double-helical elements and three loops (D, anti-codon, and T loops). Further hydrogen bonds mediate the characteristic L-shaped molecular structure. tRNAs have two regions of fundamental functional importance: the anti-codon, which is responsible for specific mRNA codon recognition, and the 3' end, to which the tRNAs corresponding amino acid is attached (by aminoacyl-tRNA synthetases). tRNAs cope with the degeneracy of the genetic code in two manners: having more than one tRNA (with a specific anti-codon) for a particular amino acid; and 'wobble' base-pairing, i.e. permitting non-standard base-pairing at the 3rd anti-codon position. RNAcentral also lists the same sequence under 1 other name. Lineage: Bacteria; Pseudomonadati; Pseudomonadota; Gammaproteobacteria. The record is from RNAcentral.